Long non-coding RNA from Ostrinia nubilalis (European corn borer), 850 nucleotides. RefSeq lists it as uncharacterized. The record is from RefSeq and is a predicted model, not a curated record. NCBI's taxonomy places the organism in Eukaryota, Metazoa, Arthropoda, Insecta, Lepidoptera, Crambidae. The transcript has 2 exons.
CAGUUCCCAACCAUGGCCAAAUGCAAUUGGCGGGUUCCUACAGGCGUUGCGCUUGUGUUCACCUUGUGCAGUGUCGCCGCUAGGGUAGCAUUCUUCACUAUGAAGAGCACUCAGAAGAUUGAGGUGCCGAGGUUCACGAUAGAUGAAAGUAAAAUGAAUCUGCAGCCGCCUUGGUAUCAACCGUUUCAGGAAGAACUUUUUGAGGGCAAGAUAGAAAGUGUAACAACAACAACGUACGAACCGAUCAAGUUAACAACCUACCUGGCUGCCACGUCGUCACAUCGACGCUCUGGUACGGACGCUGAACCAAAAGCCCAAUCUAGCUGGACAGAAAGGUUUAAGGCAAUUUUUUCAUGGGGUUAGCAAAAAUGAUAGCAUAAUAACCAGAGGACUAAUGUAAACUGGACUGUAACUUGGAUUUAUCGUCUAAAAUUGAUAAAAAGCCUCAAUAUUAUAUUGUGGCGCGUAUCCUAGCCCUGCUUGUAAUAUAUUAAAAAGCUGAGUUGCACCAUCUAACUUUAACGGUAACUGUAAUUUUGUAUUUAGUUUGACAGAUUUUUGACGUUUGUUAAAGUUAAAGUAAAAUUAUGUAAGCCUACUGUUUUAAACUGUUACCUACUAUUACUCACGUAAUGUAAACUUAGAUCGAUGGAUGUAUUUUCCCCAAUAAAUGUUAAUGUUUUGUAAUUUUCUGUGUGUUUAAUGUGUGUAAUCUUUAAUGUUCUUUUAAAAGAUUUGUACCUAUUUAAGUAGAGAUUGUAAUAAGCUUUUGCUAGAAGGUUCACCCGCGUGAAUAUGGUCUGUUAUAGAAUUCAAAGGCUAAGAAAUAAAGCAGAUGUUAAUUAUUAAA